GACAACGUGAUUGUAAGCCCAGUGACAAC
RNAcentral lists this small RNA (29 nucleotides) under Bombyx mori (domestic silkworm). RNAcentral describes it as "ovarian small RNA-15332". The record is from RNAcentral. Lineage: Eukaryota; Metazoa; Arthropoda; Insecta; Lepidoptera; Bombycidae.